This 438-nucleotide ribosomal RNA is filed under the name Escherichia coli. RNAcentral describes it as "partial 23S ribosomal RNA". It matches the Rfam family "Bacterial large subunit ribosomal RNA", at positions 2411 to 2843 of the family's 2925-position model. Lineage: Bacteria; Pseudomonadati; Pseudomonadota; Gammaproteobacteria; Enterobacterales; Enterobacteriaceae. The record is from RNAcentral.
CAUAGUGAUCCGGUGGUUCUGAAUGGAAGGGCCAUCGCUCAACGGAUAAAAGGUACUCCGGGGAUAACAGGCUGAUACCGCCCAAGAGUUCAUAUCGACGGCGGUGUUUGGCACCUCGAUGUCGGCUCAUCACAUCCUGGGGCUGAAGUAGGUCCCAAGGGUAUGGCUGUUCGCCAUUUAAAGUGGUACGCGAGCUGGGUUUAGAACGUCGUGAGACAGUUCGGUCCCUAUCUGCCGUGGGCGCUGGAGAACUGAGGGGGGCUGCUCCUAGUACGAGAGGACCGGAGUGGACGCAUCACUGGUGUUCGGGUUGUCAUGCCAAUGGCACUGCCCGGUAGCUAAAUGCGGAAGAGAUAAGUGCUGAAAGCAUCUAAGCACGAAACUUGCCCCGAGAUGAGUUCUCCCUGACUCCUUGAGAGUCCUGAAGGAACGUUGAAG